Molecule: ribosomal RNA, 164 nt
Filed under: uncultured bacterium
Lineage: Bacteria
Description: partial 16S ribosomal RNA
Rfam family: Bacterial small subunit ribosomal RNA
Source: RNAcentral
CCAGCCAUGCCGCGUGAGUGAAGAAGGCCUUCGGGUUGUAAAGCUCUUUCGGCCGGGAAGAAAUCGGCGACUCUAACAUAGUCGCUGGAUGACGGUACCGGACUAGGAANCACCGGCUAACUACGUGCCAGCACCGCGUAAUAAGCGUGAUUGCCCGGUCNAGG